RNAcentral lists this ribosomal RNA (640 nucleotides) under uncultured bacterium. RNAcentral describes it as "bacterial SSU rRNA". It matches the Rfam family "Bacterial small subunit ribosomal RNA", at positions 338 to 980 of the family's 1533-position model. The record is from RNAcentral.
CCUACGGGAGGCAGCAGUGAGGAAUAUUGGACAAUGGGCGCAAGCCUGAUCCAGCCAUGCCGCGUGCAGGAUGACGGUCCUAUGGAUUGUAAACUGCUUUUAUACGAGAAGAAACACUACUUCGUGAAGUAGCUUGACGGUAUCGUAAGAAUAAGGAUCGGCUAACUCCGUGCCAGCAGCCGCGGUAAUACGGAGGAUCCAAGCGUUAUCCGGAAUCAUUGGGUUUAAAGGGUCCGUAGGCGGUUUAAUAAGUCAGUGGUGAAAGCCCAUCNCUCAACGGUGGAACGGCCAUUGAUACUGUUAGACUUGAAUUAUUAGGAAGUAACUAGAAUAUGUAGUGUAGCGGUGAAAUGCUUAGAGAUUACAUGGAAUACCAAUUGCGAAGGCAGGUUACUACUAAUUGAUUGACGCUGAUGGACGAAAGCGUGGGUAGCGAACAGGAUUAGAUACCCUGGUAGUCCACGCCGUAAACGAUGGAUACUAGCUGUUGGGAGCAAUCUCAGUGGCUAAGCGAAAGUGAUAAGUAUCCCACCUGGGGAGUACGUUCGCAAGAAUGAAACUCAAAGGAAUUGACGGGGGCCCGCACAAGCGGUGGAGCAUGUGGUUUAAUUCGAUGAUACGCGAGGAACCUUACCAAGGC